Molecule: unclassified non-coding RNA, 337 nt
Filed under: soil metagenome
Description: partial contains 5.8S ribosomal RNA, internal transcribed spacer 2, and large subunit ribosomal RNA
Rfam family: 5.8S ribosomal RNA (bases 1-120)
Source: RNAcentral
GAUGAAGAACUCAGCGAAAUGCGAUAAGUAGUGUGAAUUGCAGAAUUCAGUGAAUCAUCGAAUCUUUGAACGCACAUUGCGCCCCUUGGUAUUCCAUGGGGCAUGCCUGUUCGAGCGUCAUUUGUACCCUCCAGCCCUGCUGGGUAUUGGGCGUUUUGUUCCGCUACGCGCGUGAACUCGCCUCAAAUGCAUUGGCAGCCCGCCGUCCCGUGUGGGAGCGCAGCACAUUUUGCGCUCUCCGCUGCUGACGGUGGCAUCCACAAGUCUACCAUUUUACGCUUGACCUCGGAUCAGGUAGGGAUACCCGCUGAACUUAAGCAUAUCAAUAAGCGGAGGA